AAAUUCAGGACUAUUAGAACCAAGAGCCUUCAAAGCCCUUAAAAAGAGGUACAACCCCUCUAAUUUCUG
Molecule: transfer RNA, 69 nt
Filed under: Phelsuma abbotti
Lineage: Eukaryota; Metazoa; Chordata; Lepidosauria; Squamata; Gekkonidae
Description: tRNA-Trp
Source: RNAcentral